This 603-nucleotide ribosomal RNA is filed under the name Salmonella enterica subsp. enterica serovar Schwarzengrund. RNAcentral describes it as "partial 23S ribosomal RNA". It matches the Rfam family "Bacterial large subunit ribosomal RNA", at positions 587 to 1191 of the family's 2925-position model. Lineage: Bacteria; Pseudomonadati; Pseudomonadota; Gammaproteobacteria; Enterobacterales; Enterobacteriaceae. The record is from RNAcentral.
UGGGGUGUGACUGCGUACCUUUUGUAUAAUGGGUCAGCGACUUAUAUUCUGUAGCAAGGUUAACCGAAUAGGGGAGCCGGAGGGAAACCGAGUCUUAAUUGGGCGUUAAGUUGCAGGGUAUAGACCCGAAACCCGGUGAUCUAGCCAUGGGCAGGUUGAAGGUUGGGUAACACUAACUGGAGGACCGAACCGACUAAUGUUGAAAAAUUAGCGGAUGACCUGUGGCUGGGGGUGAAAGGCCAAUCAAACCGGGAGAUAGCUGGUUCUCCCCGAAAGCUAUUUAGGUAGCGCCUCGUGAAUUCAUCUCCGGGGGUAGAGCACUGUUUCGGCUAGGGGGCCAUCCCGGCUUACCAACCCGAUGCAAACUGCGAAUACCGGAGAAUGUUAUCACGGGAGACACACGGCGGGUGCUAACGUCCGUCGUGAAGAGGGAAACAACCCAGACCGCCAGCUAAGGUCCCAAAGUCAUGGUUAAGUGGGAAACGAUGUGGGAAGGCCCAGACAGCCAGGAUGUUGGCUUAGAAGCAGCCAUCAUUUAAAGAAAGCGUAAUAGCUCACUGGUCGAGUCGGCCUGCGCGGAAGAUGUAACGGGGCUAAACCAUG